This 932-nucleotide ribosomal RNA is filed under the name Alternaria alternata. RNAcentral describes it as "eukaryotic LSU rRNA". The stretch from base 123 to 276 matches the Rfam family "5.8S ribosomal RNA". Lineage: Eukaryota; Fungi; Ascomycota; Dothideomycetes; Pleosporales; Pleosporaceae. The record is from RNAcentral.
UGCUGAAUUAUUCACCCUUGUCUUUUGCGUACUUCUUGUUUCCUUGGUGGGUUCGCCCACCACUAGGACAAACAUAAACCUUUUGUAAUUGCAAUCAGCGUCAGUAACAAAUUAAUAAUUACAACUUUCAACAACGGAUCUCUUGGUUCUGGCAUCGAUGAAGAACGCAGCGAAAUGCGAUAAGUAGUGUGAAUUGCAGAAUUCAGUGAAUCAUCGAAUCUUUGAACGCACAUUGCGCCCUUUGGUAUUCCAAAGGGCAUGCCUGUUCGAGCGUCAUUUGUACCCUCAAGCUUUGCUUGGUGUUGGGCGUCUUGUCUCUAGCUUUGCUGGAGACUCGCCUUAAAGUAAUUGGCAGCCGGCCUACUGGUUUCGGAGCGCAGCACAAGUCGCACUCUCUAUCAGCAAAGGUCUAGCAUCCAUUAAGCCUUUUUUCAACUUUUGACCUCGGAUCAGGUAGGGAUACCCGCUGAACUUAAGCAUAUCAUGCGGAGGGAUCAUUACACAAAUAUGAAGGCGGGCUGGAACCUCUCGGGGUUACAGCCUUGCUGAAUUAUUCACCCUUGUCUUUUGCGUACUUCUUGUUUCCUUGGUGGGUUCGCCCACCACUAGGACAAACAUAAACCUUUUGUAAUUGCAAUCAGCGUCAGUAACAAAUUAAUAAUUACAACUUUCAACAACGGAUCUCUUGGUUCUGGCAUCGAUGAAGAACGCAGCGAAAUGCGAUAAGUAGUGUGAAUUGCAGAAUUCAGUGAAUCAUCGAAUCUUUGAACGCACAUUGCGCCCUUUGGUAUUCCAAAGGGCAUGCCUGUUCGAGCGUCAUUUGUACCCUCAAGCUUUGCUUGGUGUUGGGCGUCUUGUCUCUAGCUUUGCUGGAGACUCGCCUUAAAGUAAUUGGCAGCCGGCCUACUGGUUUCGGAGCGCAGCACAAGUCG